GUGGGGAAUAUUGGACAAUGGGCGAAAGCCUGAUCCAGCAAUGCCGCGUGAGUGAUGAAGGCCUUAGGGUUGUAAAGCUCUUUUACCAGUGAUGAUAAUGACAGUACCUGGAGAAUAAGCUCCGGCUAACUCCGUGCCAGCAGCCGCGGUAAUACGGAGGGAGCUAGCGUUGUUCGGAAUUACUGGGCGUAAAGCGCACGUAGGCGGUUACUCAAGUCAGAGGUGAAAGCCCGGGGCUCAACCCCGGAACUGCCUUUGAAACUAGGUAACUAGAAUCUUGGAGAGGUCAGUGGAAUUCCGAGUGUAGAGGUGAAAUUCGUAGAUAUUCGGAAGAACACCAGUGGCGAAGGCGACUGACUGGACAAGUAUUGACGCUGAGGUGCGAAAGCGUGGGGAGCAAACAGGAUUAGAAACCCUGGUAGUCC
This 425-nucleotide ribosomal RNA is filed under the name uncultured bacterium. RNAcentral's name for it is "partial 16S ribosomal RNA". It matches the Rfam family "Bacterial small subunit ribosomal RNA", at positions 354 to 796 of the family's 1533-position model. The record is from RNAcentral.